AUAAGAGACUCUUAAAAACUGAGAAUAAACUGAGGGUUGAUGGGCGGUGGGAGGGAGGGGAAAGUGAGUGAUGGGCAUUGAGGAGGGUGCCUGUUGGGAUGAGCACUGGGUGUUGUAUGGAAACCAAUUUGACAAUAAAUUUCAUAUUAAAAAGAAAAAAUAAAAGAAAAUAUUGACUUAAAACAUUAAGAUGUAUUAAGUACAUUCCUUUUUCUUUUUCAGACUUUUUCUGCUGCUUAGACUUUUUCAUAAAGUACUGCUGAGCUCUUUCACAUAAAGAUGCUAUUGUGAACUGAAUGUAUUCCUUCAAAAUUCUUAUGUUGAAGCCUUUAUCCCCAGUGUGGCUAUAUUUGGAGAUGAGGCCGUUAUUGAAGUAAUGAAAGUCAAGUGAAUUCAUAAGGAUAGGACCUUGAUCUAAUGAGAUUAGUUUCUUUGUAAGAAAAAACACCAGACAGCUCUCUCCCCUCUCCCUUUUUCCUUGCAUGCCACCCUCCCCCUCCCCCCUUUUUCUUCUCUUUCCCCACAGCCUUCUCUCCCCACCAUGUGAGGACACUACAAGAGGGCUACAUCUGCAAGCCAGGAAGACAGCCUUCACCAGAAACCAAAUCCUGCCAGACCUUGAUCUUGGACUUUCCAGCCUCCAGAACUGUGAGAAAGUAAAUUUUCAUUGUUUAAGCCACCCAGCCUAUGGUAUUUUGUUACAGCAACUCAUGCAGACUUUGGUACCAAGAAAUGGGGUGCUGUUGUAACAAGUACCUAAAAGUGUGGCAGCGGUUUUAGAACUGGUGGAUGGGGGGAGGUUGGAGGAAUCUGAGGCACAGGCUAGAAACAUGGAAUGUUAGAGGCAAUUCUGGUGAUUGCUCUGAAAGAAAAGAAGAGAGCUGGAGAGAAAGGUUCUCUUAGAGAAUCUUCUUAGGGAACACAUCAAUAAUCACGAACAGAAUGUUGGUAGAAAUACGGACGGUAAAGGUAUCAUAUGGAAAUAAGAAACAGAGGAUGACACAUCUGUAUCUGCGCAGGUUACCCGUCAGCCAUUUGAAUGGCAAGAAGGACACCACCCGUCAUACCAAGGAGCACUCUUAUAAGCAGAGGGCUAUGUAACAGGCACUGAGUUCAUUCUUUAAUGAAAUACGAUCAAAAACCAAGGGACUCUUU
This is a long non-coding RNA of Neofelis nebulosa (Clouded leopard), 1155 nucleotides long. RefSeq lists it as uncharacterized. Lineage: Eukaryota; Metazoa; Chordata; Mammalia; Carnivora; Felidae. The transcript has 2 exons. The record is from RefSeq and is a predicted model, not a curated record.